CCCUUAGAUGUUCUGGGCCGCACACGCGCCACACUGAAGGAGGCAGCGUGUACUCCUGGAUCGAAAGAUUUGGGUAACCCGCGAAUCUCCUUCGUGCUAGGGAUUGAGGUUUGCAAUUAUCCUUCAUGAACGAGGAAUUCCCAGUAAGUGCAAGUCAUAAGCUUGCGCUGACUACGUCCCUGCCCUUUGUACACACCGCCCGUCGCUACUACCGAUUGAAUGAUUUAGUGAGGACUUCGGACUGGGACCGAUGCGGCUUUCGGGCUGCGUCGGUAUUCUGGAAAGAUGUCCAAACUGUAUCAUUUAGAGGAAGUAAAANUCGUANCA
RNAcentral lists this ribosomal RNA (327 nucleotides) under uncultured eukaryote. Its description in RNAcentral is "partial 18S ribosomal RNA". It matches the Rfam family "Eukaryotic small subunit ribosomal RNA", at positions 1470 to 1796 of the family's 1831-position model. The record is from RNAcentral.